GACGCUCCCUCGCCUCCUCGGCCCUGCCUCCUCCUCGCGGCCCUCUGCACAUGCCUCAAGGACGCCCGGCGCGGCGUCGAGAGGAGAGAAACUCGCCCAGCGCUCCCGUGAACGCGAACCUUCCGGCCAAGAGCUGCGUCUCUCGCCGGGGCUCCGAAGCAGUUGCACCGCCCCGGGCCAGCUUAGGCUGUGCCAAGCUGUGGAACUUCCGUCUGCCCUGCGUGGGGGCUUUUCCUCGCAAGAGCAGCACCAGGCAAAGGACCGCAGCGCUCAGUCCCCAGGGCGGNGGAACAGCAGGCGGGCCGGUGCCAUGCCCAGCCCNUCCAAAGUGGACGCUCCUGCCCUCCGUUCCACGCAGCAGCAAGCACCAGCGAAGUGGGAUUCUCUCCCUUGCUCCUCUUCCCUCUCAGUCCUUGCUUCCUCUCAUAUCGUGUCUCUUCGGCUGUAAGGCAGAAGACAGGGACUUGUCCUGUGCUAUGACGUGUUGGAAGCUACUUUGGAAGACUUUUAGAGGUUCAAGGGUGGGAUAAAAAUCCAGUAAACGUAUUUCACUUAGUGCCUGGGAGUGCGGUGGAAAAAUUCUUGAAACCUUGCCCACAUGAAAAGCUUGCAGAACUUUAAAGGCAAUGUGCAAGGCUGUCAACUGAAACAAAAAGAUCAGCCCAAGAUGCCUUUCCUUGAAAACAGAAAGUGUCCCUUGAGUUACCAAAGCAGCUGUGUGUCCCCCAUCACUACCCCUCUCUUGCUUGGCCACUGCUGACCAAGAGGUUCUGGAUUAGGGGCUGAGCAAUCCUGAAGUUAUGCAAUAGUGCCACCUGGCGGAGACCCCUAUUUCCUUCCUUCUCCAAAUCUAAUGCAUUUUCCCGGGUCCAAGUAUUCAGUAAGAUGUUAAAAGGCCUGCAAUAUAGCUUUGCAGGCUGCUAGUAUCUUCCGUUCUGGGCGUAGCAAGCCCUGAAAUAUUUUGUGUCUGCUGCAUGUGAAGCUCCUCAGGGAAAGAUGGCACGGACACGUUCCCCAUUCCAGGGAGGAAAGAAGGUGCACCGUGGCCUUCUGCUGGGGGACCAGGCGGCUGACUAGCAUUAGGGUUCCCGUGGACAACUCCCUGAUCAUUAAGAGAUGCUGACAAGAAGAACACCGCAGUGCGGGGGGGCGGAGGUCCAAAAUGAUACCAGAGCCCACGCAAGUCCAAAGCCAGCUUGGUCUCUGAACUGAUCAUCCCACGUACCCAAAGCAGCCGUCAAAAAGGGGCAUUGGGCCCUGGCUCCCAAGCCUUUGCCUUUAGGCCCCAUUCCUCGCUCCUGCUUCUCCGGCCUCUGGUUUGGCACAACGUGUGCAAGGGGAUGCUGUUUGGGCAGGCAAGAAAAACCUAAGAACCCCUACACGCUGGUGGGAUCUGAUCAGGUGACCAUUGGCAAGGAAAGCCAUCCUGGG
RNAcentral lists this long non-coding RNA (1431 nucleotides) under Salvator merianae (Argentine black and white tegu). Its description in RNAcentral is "lncRNA (ENSSMRG00000001954.1)". Lineage: Eukaryota; Metazoa; Chordata; Lepidosauria; Squamata; Teiidae. The record is from RNAcentral.